UACGUAGGGAGCAAGCGUUGUUCGGAUUUACUGGGCGUAAAGGGUGCGUAGGCGGGUCUUUAAGUCAGGGGUGAAAUCCUGGAGCUCAACUCCAGAACUGCCUUUGAUACUGAGGAUCUUGAGUCCGGGAGAGGUGAGUGGAACUGCGAGUGUAGAGGUGAAAUUCGUAGAUAUUCGCAAGAACACCAGUGGCGAAGGCGGCCGACUGGACCAUUACUGACGCUGAGGCGCGAAAGCGUGGGGAGCAAACAGG
RNAcentral lists this ribosomal RNA (253 nucleotides) under uncultured bacterium. Its description in RNAcentral is "partial 16S ribosomal RNA". It matches the Rfam family "Bacterial small subunit ribosomal RNA", at positions 524 to 776 of the family's 1533-position model. The record is from RNAcentral.